AACUUUUAACAAUGGAUCUCUUGGCUCUCAUAUCGAUGAAGAACACAGUGAAAUGUGAUAAGUAAUGUGAAUUGCAGAAUUCAGUGAAUCAUCAAAUCUUUGAACGCACCUUGCACCUUUUGGUAUUCCAAAAGGUAUACCUGUUUGAGUGUCAUG
RNAcentral lists this ribosomal RNA (156 nucleotides) under Puccinia wiehei. RNAcentral's name for it is "5.8S ribosomal RNA". It matches the Rfam family "5.8S ribosomal RNA". Rfam says of the family: 5.8S ribosomal RNA (5.8S rRNA) is a component of the large subunit of the eukaryotic ribosome. Lineage: Eukaryota; Fungi; Basidiomycota; Pucciniomycetes; Pucciniales; Pucciniaceae. The record is from RNAcentral.